This 497-nucleotide ribosomal RNA is filed under the name uncultured bacterium. RNAcentral describes it as "partial 16S ribosomal RNA". It matches the Rfam family "Bacterial small subunit ribosomal RNA", at positions 28 to 507 of the family's 1533-position model. The record is from RNAcentral.
GAUGAACGCUGGCGGCGUGCCUAAUACAUGCAAGUCGAGCGAACAGACGAGGAGCUUGCUCCUCUGACGUUAGCGGCGGACGGGUGAGUAACACGUGGAUAACCUACCUAUAAGACUGGGAUAACUUCGGGAAACCGGAGCUAAUACCGGAUAAUAUAUUGAACCGCAUGGUUCAAUAGUGAAAGACGGUUUUGCUGUCACUUAUAGAUGGAUCCGCGCCGCAUUAGCUAGUUGGUAAGGUAACGGCUUACCAAGGCGACGAUGAGUAGCCGACCUGAGAGGGUGAUCGGCCACACUGGAACUGAGACACGGUCCAGACUCCUACGGGAGGCAGCAGUAGGGAAUCUUCCGCAAUGGGCGAAAGCCUGACGGAGCAACGCCGCGUGAGUGAUGAAGGUCUUCGGAUCGUAAAACUCUGUUAUUAGGGAAGAACAAAUGUGUAAGUAACUAUGCACGUCUUGACGGUACCUAAUCAGAAAGCCACGGCUAACUACGUG